UCGAUGCCUAAACAUCAAACGACCCGCGAACGCGUUUAAAAACAAACUGUUCGCGUUAGGGGCGGGGGGAAGCAUGCUCUUUGCCUGUCUCCUCCCCUUCCAACGCGUUUAAACAAAACCCCGGCGCAGGUCGCGCCAAGGAACUUGAAAUGAAUUCGCCUGUCCCCUGCCCCGGCCUCGGCGUGCGGGGGAUGGAGCAUUCUAGUCGUAUUACUAA
This 217-nucleotide ribosomal RNA is filed under the name Cucumis melo (muskmelon). The record is from RNAcentral. Lineage: Eukaryota; Viridiplantae; Streptophyta; Magnoliopsida; Cucurbitales; Cucurbitaceae.